Podarcis lilfordi (Lilford's wall lizard) is the source of this 79-nucleotide non-coding RNA. The record is from the annotation of a GenBank genome assembly. Lineage: Eukaryota; Metazoa; Chordata; Lepidosauria; Squamata; Lacertidae.
GCCACCAACUGAUAGCUCAGUUAGCAGAGAGCAUGAGACUCUGACUGUCAGGGUUGGGGUUCAAGCCCCAUUUGGGGCA